CUAGCGCUUUAACGUCACGCUUGUCGCUUUGCAAAGUUCAACAUGAAUUUACUGCCGAAAUCAACGAAAGAUUUUGGCUCAAAACGCUACUGGGACAGUUUUUUUGAGAAACGUAAAGAUGCUUUUGAAUGGUAUGGAGAAUAUUCCGACCUAUGUGGUGUACUUCAUAAAUACUGUAAGCCUAAAGAUCGAGUACUAGUUGCAGGU
Non-coding RNA from Paramuricea clavata, 207 nucleotides. NCBI's taxonomy places the organism in Eukaryota, Metazoa, Cnidaria, Anthozoa, Malacalcyonacea, Plexauridae. The record is from the annotation of a GenBank genome assembly.